UACGGGGGGAGCAAGCGUUGUUCGGAUUUACUGGGCGUAAAGGGCGCGUAGGCGGUCAGCACAAGUCAGUUGUGAAAUCUCCGGGCUUAACUCGGAAAGGUCAACUGAUACUGUGCGACUAGAGUGCGGAAGGGGCAACUGGAAUUCUCGGUGUAGCGGUGAAAUGCGUAGAUAUCGAAGGGGACUUUCAGAGGCGAAGGCGAUUUUCCUAAUAAUACUGACACUGAAGCACGAAAGCGUGGGGAGCAAACAGG
This 254-nucleotide ribosomal RNA is filed under the name uncultured bacterium. RNAcentral describes it as "partial 16S ribosomal RNA". It matches the Rfam family "Bacterial small subunit ribosomal RNA", at positions 524 to 776 of the family's 1533-position model. The record is from RNAcentral.